AUUGAACGCUGGCGGCAUGCCUUACACAUGCAAGUCGAACGGUAACGGGCCUUCGGGUGCCGACGAGUGGCGAACGGGUGAGUAAUGCAUCGGAACGUACCUUUCAGUGGGGGAUAACGUAGCGAAAGUUACGCUAAUACCGCAUAUUCUGUGAGCAGGAAAGCAGGGGAUCGCAAGACCUUGCGCUGAUUGAGCGGCCGAUGUCAGAUUAGCUAGUUGGUGAGGUAAAGGCUCACCAAGGCGACGAUCUGUAGCGGGUCUGAGAGGAUGAUCCGCCACACUGGAACUGAGACACGGUCCAGACUCCUACGGGAGGCAGCAGUGGGGAAUUUUGGACAAUGGGGGCAACCCUGAUCCAGCCAUGCCGCGUGAGUGAGGAAGGCCUUCGGGUUGUAAAGCUCUUUCGGCCGGGAAGAAAUCGCAUGGGCUAAUACCCUGUGCGGAUGACGGUACCGGCAUAAGAAGCACCGGCUAACUACGUG
RNAcentral lists this ribosomal RNA (482 nucleotides) under uncultured bacterium. RNAcentral's name for it is "bacterial SSU rRNA". It matches the Rfam family "Bacterial small subunit ribosomal RNA", at positions 30 to 507 of the family's 1533-position model. The record is from RNAcentral.